GUUGUCCCCUGUGUGACCCAAACAGAACAGAAAACAAGAAAACGUACGAUAAAAGGACUCCAAGAAGAAAAAGAAGGCUAAUUUGGUUCAAGUCAUCAACGUGGAUAAAAUCUUUGGUGGCGAGUAUGCUUUUGCUGAGCAGAAGUGUAUCGAUUGGCAAUUGUUUGAUGGUUUUUAUUCUAACUGAACACCAUGCAUUUUUGACUCAAAUGUCACGGUAGAUAUUUAUUUACUUCCUCUUUGAUCUUCUCUUGUUAAUCUAUAUUCUUUUCGGAUGUUCUUUUUAGUUUCUCAUCGUAAUCUAAAAUCGUGAUUGUAAUUUGUAAACAUACAUUUUGUUUUACCCUUGUCAUAUAUCUUUUUUUUUGGUAAAAAACCCUUGUCAGAUAUCAAUAUAUCAUCAUCUAAGAAACUAUUAAUUACACAACGAAUUGCAUGGAUGAUGAUAUAUUUCUUCAGCUGGAUUAAUUCUUUUGUUUUAUAUUUUGCUACUAUUUUAAGAUGUUUUCACUCGUUGAUUCAUAUGAUCGAUUUCGUUGUUCUCUAACAUGUGAAUUUUAUAUUGUAGAAUUGUCGUUGUGACCUACUAAAAGAAUAUAAUAUGCUUUGCACUAUGUAUUUCGGUUAAACCUCAAUUGAUAAUUCGAUUCCUACUUUAAUUAAGGAUGUAUUACAACGUUUAAUUAGUUUACCUCUAAACGAAGUCCUGUAUCUGGAAGUCUUCCUCCAAAAGAUUAAGUUAGGCAGACUUGAAAAAAUUUUCAACUACAUGUAAUAUGUUCCUUUAUUUUCUUAAAUCAAUGCUCAGCGAAAAUUUUAAAAUAAUGUAUUAACUGUGACAAUAUAAAUAUUGGAACUUUGUAAGUCUUAAUUAAGGAUUGGUUCUUGAGCUCACAAAAUAUAACUAGCUAGAUAAACGACAGAAAUUCUUACAGCAUUCGCUUUCAAGGUAAUUAAUUUGACACAUUGCUCAAAAUAGGUUUAAUGACUAUGAACCAUUUUCUCACAAAACAAACCGUUAAAGCGUUAACUUACAUUCGUAUUAUACUUUACGGUUCGAGUGUUCCAUCUUAUGGUUUAAAUGCAAAUGUAUUUGUUUAUCAGUACUAGUAGCAUUCACUAUUCCUGCAUUAACUGCUUUACUAUAGAAGAACUGUCUAGCAUUUACAAUGAAUGCGUUUCUGUUGAUCUAUUAAGAGAAAAAUGUAAAAUUAUUCUAUUAAAACUAAAGUACAAAAUAAUAUUUUCCUAUUUUUAAGUGGUUUCUUACCAAAUUUUUUUAAACUAAUUGUAACCAUUUUAUUUAUUGUAUUUUUUAAUUAAUUUAACAUCAUUUAUUACAAUGUUUAAAAUGUUUUAUUACGUUUUUCUUUACUAUUCUUCCUAACUACUUCAUAAUUAUAUUUACUAUAAUAAUUCAUAGCAAUUAUUUUACGGGCUAAUCAUAAUAAUUUUGCAUGUAAUGCAAUUGCUUCAUUCUUGACAAAACUUCAAACUGGCUAACAAAGAAUUUUUAUUUAUUUGCAGAAUCAAUUAUACAUGGGUAUCCAAGUACCCAUUCAAGUAUGAUAUCGUUUUUGAUAUCGUUUGAUAUUCAAAUACAUGGCUCAAAUCUUUGAUAUCGUUUUUUAGUUUUAAAAUUAGAUUUCAUUCGGAUAUUAUAAAUUAGGAUCCGAUUAAGUUCAAAUCUUUGAUAUCCAAAUACAUGGCUCAAAUCUUUGAUAUCCAAAUACACUCCUCAAAUCUUUGAUAUCGUUUAGUUUUAAAAUUAGAUUUCAUUCGGAUAUUAUAAAUUAGGAUCCGAGUAAGUUCGUAUGAACUUAAAAAUAUUCAAAUAACUUAUAUUUUUAAAAAUGUCAUUAAAAUUAUAAAAAAAUGUAAAAAUCAAAACCCCCACGGGCAGGAGGAUCAUGCUCUAGUUUAAAAUUAAAAGCAAAAUAAUCUAGCUUUUUACCUCAAAUUUUUUUCCAUAUACAAUCUCUCUUGAUAUAUGGGGUUUUUACACGUUGAUGUAUCCAUAUAUAAUGAUAGAUCACAUACAUGCAUAGCCUACAGUCUUCACACACAAUCGUUACGUUUAUGAUUGUUUUUUUGACAGUCAACGAAAUAUAUCAAAUGAGAUUUAUCGGGGUUUGGAUGAUACUGUAUAGUAAAAAAAACAAUGAGUCAAAAUACCACUUUCUAUAAUGGUAUUUGAUUAUUUUUUUUUAAACAAUUUCUACACAUUUUUUAAGAAGAAAUCAAAUUGUUUGAAAUGAAAAAAUGAAAAAAAAAAUAUUUAAAAUUUGAUUUUUUAAAAAAUUCAAAACAAAAAUAUUGAAUUAUACUAUUUUAAAAAAAUAUAUUAUUUUUAAUGAAUAUUUAAAAUAUCAAAGUUUUUUAAGAAACUGAAAUUUCUUCAAAAAACCUUAAAACUUGUAACAACAUUUUAUUCAAAGUUAUUCAAAUCUCGAAUUUUCCUAGAUUUACUCAAAUCUUGAAUUAUCUCAAAUCUUUGAUUCAAUAAACUUCCUUUCAUGAAAAAUGCAAAUCUCUAAUACUCCCUCUUUUAAUACUCCACUAGAAUAAGACCUGCGCCUUGCGCAGGGUGAGUUUAUUUGUAUAUAUUAUCGAUAGUUUCUUUUAUAUAUUUGAUCAUUUUAUUUAUAUAUAUAAAAUAUUUUUUUGUUGUUAUUAUAUAAUUUAUUUCCGAUGGAUCGGAUCAAUUUGUAUUAAAAAUAAUGGAACAAAACUAUAAUUAAUACAUCAUGGGUUGAUCAGAUUGGACAUUAAACAAAUUAUGACAUAAAAACCUUAUUUUUUUCAUCGAACACAUUCUUGAAAAAAUGAACACUAUUGUUUUCACAGUUGAAUUAUUUUGACUUUUAUCUUACAUAUGAUUUUGAAAGCUUUCAAAUCAACCAUCAAACUGAUACAUGUCAUUUUAAUGUUUUUAGUCGUAUACUUAAGGAAAACUUACAUUUUUGUAAUUUAAAGUCGUUUUAAAAAAAUUCAAAAUAUUACAUAUAAGAAAAUUCUAACAUAUAAGAAAAAUAUAACAUAUAAGGUGUCUUCAUUUGUGUAUUUUAAAGUCGUUUUAAAAAAAUAUAUAACAUAUAAGGUUUCUUCAUUUUUGUAAUUUAAAGUCAUUU
Brassica rapa (field mustard) is the source of this 3131-nucleotide long non-coding RNA. RefSeq lists it as uncharacterized. NCBI's taxonomy places the organism in Eukaryota, Viridiplantae, Streptophyta, Magnoliopsida, Brassicales, Brassicaceae. The record is from RefSeq and is a predicted model, not a curated record.